Molecule: transfer RNA, 23 nt
Filed under: Alligator sinensis (Chinese alligator)
Lineage: Eukaryota; Metazoa; Chordata; Crocodylia; Alligatoridae
Also listed under: 1 other name
Description: partial tRNA-Trp
Source: RNAcentral
AAGAAAUUAGGUUCAAACUUCAA